Molecule: ribosomal RNA, 1111 nt
Filed under: Enterococcus sp.
Lineage: Bacteria; Bacillati; Bacillota; Bacilli; Lactobacillales; Enterococcaceae
Description: bacterial SSU rRNA
Rfam family: Bacterial small subunit ribosomal RNA
Source: RNAcentral
UCCGGCAAUGGACGAAAGUCUGACCGAGCAACGCCGCGGGGAGGGAAGAAGGUUUCGGAUCGUAAACUCUGUUGUAGAGAGACAAGGAUGAGAGUAGAACGUUCAUCCCUUGACGGUAUCUAACCAGAAAGCCACGGCUAACUACGUGCCAGCAGCCGCGGUAAUACGUAGGUGGCAAGCGUUGUCCGGAUUUAUUGGGCGUAAAGCGAGCGCAGGCGGUUUCUUAAGUCUGAUGUGAAAGCCCCCGGCUCAACCGGGGAGGGUCAUUGGAAACUGGGAGACUUGAGUGCAGAAGAGGAGAGUGGAAUUCCAUGUGUAGCGGUGAAAUGCGUAGAUAUAUGGAGGAACACCAGUGGCGAAGGCGGCUCUCUGGUCUGUAACUGACGCUGAGGCUCGAAAGCGUGGGGAGCGAACAGGAUUAGAUACCCUGGUAGUCCACGCCGUAAACGAUGAGUGCUAAGUGUUGGAGGGUUUCCGCCCUUCAGUGCUGCAGCAAACGCAUUAAGCACUCCGCCUGGGGAGUACGACCGCAAGGUUGAAACUCAAAGGAAUUGACGGGGGCCCGCACAAGCGGUGGAGCAUGUGGUUUAAUUCGAAGCAACGCGAAGAACCUUACCAGGUCUUGACAUCCUUUGACCACUCUAGAGAUAGAGCUUCCCCUUCGGGGGCAAAGUGACAGGUGGUGCAUGGUUGUCGUCAGCUCGUGUCGUGAGAUGUUGGGUUAAGUCCCGCAACGAGCGCAACCCUUAUUGUUAGUUGCCAUCAUUUAGUUGGGCACUCUAGCGAGACUGCCGGUGACAAACCGGAGGAAGGUGGGGAUGACGUCAAAUCAUCAUGCCCCUUAUGACCUGGGCUACACACGUGCUACAAUGGGAAGUACAACGAGUUGCGAAGUCGCGAGGCUAAGCUAAUCUCUUAAAGCUUCUCUCAGUUCGGAUUGUAGGCUGCAACUCGCCUACAUGAAGCCGGAAUCGCUAGUAAUCGCGGAUCAGCACGCCGCGGUGAAUACGUUCCCGGGCCUUGUACACACCGCCCGUCACACCACGAGAGUUUGUAACACCCGAAGUCGGUGAGGUAACCACGUGGAGCCACCGUCCGGUAGAGUAAAAGA